RNAcentral lists this ribosomal RNA (506 nucleotides) under uncultured bacterium. RNAcentral describes it as "partial 16S ribosomal RNA". It matches the Rfam family "Bacterial small subunit ribosomal RNA", at positions 29 to 523 of the family's 1533-position model. The record is from RNAcentral.
AGUGAACGCUGGCGGUAGGCCUAACACAUGCAAGUCGAACGGCAGCACAGGAGAGCUUGCUCUCUGGGUGGCGAGUGGCGGACGGGUGAGGAAUACAUCGGAAUCUACUCUGUCGUGGGGGAUAACGUAGGGAAACUUACGCUAAUACCGCAUACGACCUACGGGUGAAAGCAGGGGAUCUUCGGACCUUGCGCGAUUGAAUGAGCCGAUGUCGGAUUGGCUAGUUGGCGGGGUAAAGGCCCACCAAGGCGACGAUCCGUAGCUGGUCUGAGGGGAUGAUCAGCCACACUGGAACUGAGACACAGUCCAGACUCGUACGGGAGGCAGCAGUGGGGAAUAUUGGACAAUGGGCGCAAGCCUGAUUCAGCCAUACCGCGUGGGUGAAGAAGGCCUUCGGGUUGUAAAGCCCUUUUGUUGGGAAAGAAAUCCAGCUGGCUAAUACCCGGUUGGGAUGACGGUACCCAAAGAAUAAGCACCGGCUAACUUCGUGCCAGCAGCCGCUGUAA